RNAcentral lists this ribosomal RNA (274 nucleotides) under uncultured bacterium. RNAcentral describes it as "partial 16S ribosomal RNA". It matches the Rfam family "Bacterial small subunit ribosomal RNA", at positions 523 to 796 of the family's 1533-position model. The record is from RNAcentral.
AUACGGAGGGUGCAAGCGUUAUUCGGAAUCACUGGGCGUAAAGGACGCGUAGGCGGGUUGGCAAGUCAGAUGUGAAAUCCUACAGCUUAACUGUAGAACUGCAUUUGAAACUGCUAACCUAGAGUAUGGGAGGGGGAGAUGGAAUUAGUGGUGUAGGGGUAAAAUCCGUAGAUAUCACUAGGAAUACCGAAAGCGAAGGCGAUCUCAUGGAACAUAACUGACGCUAAGGCGUGAAAGCGUGGGGAGCAAACAGGAUUAGAAACCCCAGUAGUCC